CCUACGGGUGGCAGCAGUGAGGAAUAUUGGUCAAUGGACGAGAGUCUGAACCAACCAAGUAGCGUGAAGGAUGACUGCCCUAUGGGUUGUAAACUUCUUUUAUAUGGGAAUAAAAUGUUCCACGUGUGGGAUUUUGUAUGUACCAUAUGAAUAAGGAUCGGCUAACUCCGUGCCAGCAGCCGCGGUAAUACGGAGGAUCCGAGCGUUAUCCGGAUUUAUUGGGUUUAAAGGGAGCGUAGGUGGAUUGUUAAGUCAGUUGUGAAAGUUUGCGGCUCAACCGUAAAAUUGCAGUUGAAACUGGCAGUCUUGAGUACAGUAGAGGUGGGCGGAAGUCGUGGUGUAGCGGUGAAAUGCUUAGAUAUCACGAAGAACUCCGAUUGCGAAGGCAGUUCACUGGACUGCAACUGACACUGAGGCUCGAAAGUGUGGGUAUCAAACAGGAUUAGAUACCCCAGUAGUC
This 460-nucleotide ribosomal RNA is filed under the name uncultured bacterium. RNAcentral's name for it is "partial 16S ribosomal RNA". It matches the Rfam family "Bacterial small subunit ribosomal RNA", at positions 338 to 795 of the family's 1533-position model. The record is from RNAcentral.